This 2838-nucleotide long non-coding RNA is filed under the name Erythranthe guttata (spotted monkey flower). RNAcentral describes it as "long non-coding RNA (EGUT_LNC001393)". Lineage: Eukaryota; Viridiplantae; Streptophyta; Magnoliopsida; Lamiales; Phrymaceae. The record is from RNAcentral.
GAUUUAUAAACCCUUUUCCAUAAUUUUAUACAAGUUUUAAUUCCAUGUUAUUUAUUCUAUUUGUUUUAUAAAGUGCAUGAAACUGGCCACUUUAUGUGCUUUUCUGUUAUUGCUAAUGGCAUAAAUCGGAAGAUCGGGUUACUAAUUAGAACUUGGGUAGAAGAGCCUUUGUAGUAUUAGCAUAGGAAUAUAGUUAAUAUCUUAGGUAGCUAUUAUUGAGAUUUGUGCUUCAUGAUGUGUUCUAGAUUUAAUUGCGUAGGAAUACAAUUAUUCAAUCUAGAGUAUUAGAAUCGUAAUAUACGCGGAAGCGGGUUAAAAUUAAUUUAGCAUCUCAUGUUAGUAAUCCGAUUUAAUAAUUUGCAUAAUUGAAGGAAUUGGGGAAUUAAUAAUCACAUAGGGGGAAAAAUAAAAUCCUAGGCUUGUUUAUAGAUUUUCAUUUUUAAUUGCUUUCGUGCUUUUGCUUGUUUAAAUUGUUUUAGUUUAAUUAAUCAACUUUCAACUGCAUAGGAUGGGGUUGAGCAUAAUUGGUAAAAUUUAGCGUAUAGGAUUAGAUAAUUUAAUAUUCUUUGCGGUAUCGAUAUGUGGACUUAAUUGUCCACUAUAUUACUUGUUCGAUACGUGCACUUGCGUGUGGGUAAAAUCAUCAACAAGUUUUUGGCGUCGUGCCGGGAACUAUUUUAAUUAGGGUUCAUUGGAUAUACACACCUCAUUUGGAAAAUAUAUAGGGAUAGGUCCAUCCCUAAAAAUCUUCCUUUGAGAUACCCCCAUGGAGAGGCAAAAAUACAAUUGUGCCCUUGAGUUCAAUUUUCGUCCAACUGCAUUAGUAAUUUCGCACUACAUUCAGCAUAGUGCCCAACUGCAUUUAGCAUUAUUUGGCCUGCAUUUAUCACCAAGAACAAAAUUCACAAUUUUAAUCUUGAUAUUAUAAAUCAACCAACCCAAAAAAAACUGAAAAAAACACAAUCACAUGCAUAUAAUCUUCAAAACAUGAACACGCAUUACUAUACAUUAAAAAACACAUAGCAUACAUAUAACUAUAUGUUAUUACAUAUGACUAUAUAUUGUUAUCUACAAUUAUCUAUAGUUAUAUAUAGUGGCAUAAGUCUGGAGUACUGUAGCAUGAAUGCAACUUCACAUGACACUUGUCUGCAUCUCAUAAUGUUAUACAAAGCAAAACAUGUGACAAAAAACGAAGAACAAAAUGGAACAAGCGAAUUACAUUACAUGGAAAAUACAAAAAAAAAACACAAUGAAAAACAUUUUUUUGAUAAAUUUACUUUGGUGAAUUAUAGUCACAAGUAGUUGUGCAUUAUGGUUAUUGCAUAUGACUAUAUAUGACUAUAAGUAGUCAAUAUAGUCAUAUGUAGUUAUGUUCAUUCUUGUUACUACAUGUGACUAUAUAUGACUACACGUACAUGACCACAUGUGACUAUAUAUGUAUAUAAAUAAAAUGCAUCUACACCACCAAAAAGUUCACAAUUGAAUCUAUAUAAGAUGAUGAAUAGCACAAUGUGGUUGAAAAAAAAUAUAUAUUUACUCUAGUGAAAUUAUAUCACAUAAAUCAUUUGAUUACAAAAAAAAAAAAAAAAAAUAAAAAAUUGUAGGUAUGUAUAUGGAGAGUAGAAUUUUAAUUACAAAAAAAAAAAAAAAAAAAAAAAACAAAGCAGAAUCUUAUAUAUAACUAUAAAUAACAAAUUAUAUUACAAAUAUCGAUUGAAAAUAAACAGUCACGUGCAUAUGUUACUAUCCGUUACUACAUAUAAAUAUGGUCAUGCAUAAUAAUGUUAAUAGUAUAAUCAUUUCUACAUAUAAAAAAUUAUCCAUUAUUCCUUUCCGAAAUUUUUAGUCAUCAAUCCAUCAAAACUGAUCCUCUUUCUGAGAUUAAAAGCGCUCACUUAAACCGUACUUACAUUCCUAAUCAUAAACCCAUACAUAAUAACAUUUUUAUAACAAAUAAAACAACUUAACAUACUUCCUUCACUGCUGCUAUUUGAAUCAAAAAACACAUAAAAUCCAUUCUCAAUUCCCAAAGAGGAGAAAAAAAGUCAAACUAAAUCGGGUAAUAUCAAGUUGGUUUAGGCCUACAGACUUGUAUGUUUCAAUAAUAAUGGGAUUCAUUGGGGAAAAGUCAGUUUCAUACUGUCACCCAGUCAAUUUUAACACACAUAACACUCAACACUAACUUACACACACAAACAAACAAAUCGAUCAAACACGAAAUUGAUUAAAAAAUCUUGCCAAUUGAAACAACGUAUUAAUUGAGUCGAAUAAUCAGAGUCUAAUAAAAACUCACACAAACAAAUAAAAAAAAAUAUCGGACAUCCACACUCGAAGAAAUUCAUUCAGAAGAAGUGGAACUGAAAGUUCAACGAAAACAUUCCAUCUAACAGAAAAUAAAAAUGGGGGUUUAAGGUUAAAUAAAUUACCUGUGAAAAGGACAUGGGAGCCGCAGGGCCUGCAGUAAUAGAAGAAGAGAUCGGAGUCGGGACCUUCGGCAAAACGUCCUUGCUCGACGAUUUGAUGUUGGCGAGGACGUCGGCGACGGUGGUGGACGAGGAGAGGGAGCGGAGCGGUGGAGAGCGUCGACAACGGUGGUGCACGAAGAGAGGGAGAGAAGUUGCGGAGGGCGUCAUCGACGGUGGUGGAAGAAGAGAAGGGGCGGAGCGCGGCGUUUUGCCCGGGAAGAGAGAAGACAUGAAGAUGCCGGAUCUAGAUCUGGCUAGAGAGAGGAAAGAUGUAACGUGGUGUGAGGCGUGUGAGUGGAAGAGAGGGAUUAGGCCAAAACCGUCACUUCAAGUUAUCCAGGGUUUUGAUCAAAAAUAUGAAAAAAGGAAGGGA